UAUAUGAAGAUGUAAGCUAU
RNAcentral lists this microRNA (20 nucleotides) under Ciona intestinalis (vase tunicate). RNAcentral's name for it is "cin-miR-4039-5p". The record is from miRBase by way of RNAcentral. Lineage: Eukaryota; Metazoa; Chordata; Ascidiacea; Phlebobranchia; Cionidae.